Molecule: ribosomal RNA, 460 nt
Filed under: uncultured bacterium
Lineage: Bacteria
Description: partial 16S ribosomal RNA
Rfam family: Bacterial small subunit ribosomal RNA
Source: RNAcentral
CCUACGGGGGGCAGCAGUGAGGAAUAUUGGUCAAUGGGCUUACGCCUGAACCAGCCAAGUCGCGUGAGGGAAGACUGCCCUAUGGGUUGUAAACCUCUUUUGUCAGGGAGCAACGCCGGCUACGUGUAGCCGGACGGAGAGGACCUGAAGAAAAAGCAGCGGCGAACUCGGUGCCUGCAGCCGCGGUAAUAGGGAGGAUGCGAGCGUGAGCCGGAUUGAUUGGGUUGAAAGGGUGCGUAGGCGGAAUGCCAAGUCAGCGGUAAAAUCGCGGGGCUCAACCUCGCUCCGCCGUUGAAACUGGCGUUCUUGAGUGGGCGUGAAGUAUGCGGAAUGCGUGUUGUAGCGGUGAAAUGCAUAGCUAUCACGCAGAACUCCGAUUGCGAAGGCAGCAUACCGGCGCCCAACUGACGCUGAAGCACGAAAGCGUGGGUAUCGAACAGGAUUAGAUACCCGUGUAGUC